AUGGUCUAAGCUUGCGUGAAACUACGACCAAUGCCAAAGCUAGCUUUUCAAGGUGACGGUGCCUUAUCUCGACAUCUGCUAAAGUUUUGUUGAUACGUAGAUGGGUGAUUGCGUACCUUUAUUUUUAUGGACCAACACUGCAGUUACUGCGACUUCAGAAAAGCCUUUGAAACUAUUGAAAAUAGAAUCUUUGUUUUCAGGCGGGUUUUCUUCUCCACCAACAACCAAGACGCAUGAAAGCGGUUUCCAGCGCUGCUGGGCAGAAAGACAUGAUGGCAUGAAACUCGAUUACGCACGCUGAUUGUCCGUCCACUUCAAACGCUCAAUACAGACCAUUUUCCGUGUGAAAUGACAGGGAUUGGUUUGGUUACUUAGGGAAUCCCAAGCAAAGCAAUCUACGCAAUUUCCGGGUUCAGUAGUAGGAAAGAAAGGGACCUCUCACUCAAUUCAAUAAGAUGUUCUAGGGCAUAUUAUUAUAAUAAUAAUGUUCGCAUUUGACCAGGCUUUUUGGACGUUCCAUGAUUAAACCGACUAGCGGCACUUUCGAGAUGCCACCUUGUUUAUAAAUAUAAAAAAAGUCUUUUCAAUUCCAUUUGACUCGGGGCGUCAGGGACCCUCCAACAGAAACCUCGUCUUUUUUGUCGUCGAUAAGUUCUCCCUCAGUGCCCUACUAUUCAUAAGUGACAAAUACACAAGCAAACACUCACCCGAAUCCACUUUGACGAGUAAUGGCGGCGAAGACAGAUAUGCAAUUAGCUUUUUCAGGGCAUAGACACAUUCCUCGUUCCAUUGCACCCCGUGGUCUUUUCUCAGCACAUU
This 819-nucleotide long non-coding RNA is filed under the name Nicotiana benthamiana. Its description in RNAcentral is "long non-coding RNA (NBEN_LNC013824)". The record is from RNAcentral. Lineage: Eukaryota; Viridiplantae; Streptophyta; Magnoliopsida; Solanales; Solanaceae.